CCGGACAGAACGGAACAUCUGAAUUGAUAGUCGAAACAUUGCAUUUUCAACAGUUGUUGUUGUUAACAACAAUUUUUAUAAUACAUCAAUGUUUUGGUUUCAAUACUUUCUAAGAUUUUACACAAAAAUGACGCUUUCGUUGUUUCGUGUAUUUUAUUUAUUAUUAUUUUUAUAUGCACUUUUUUCACCAUGGCGUCCUAUUUGACCGCUUUGUGGAACGUUUUCCAGUUUUUAAAACUUUGGCUGUGUAUCAAGUAAGCAGAAUUGACAAUGGUGCGCGUUUCAUUUUGGAUAAGGCUUCGAGUUCCCAUAUUCGAUGUGCUUCCGGAAUCGCAGAUUGAGGCUUGCCUAAACUCUAGGCCUCUCACGCAACUUAGCAAUGAUCCGGAAGACUUGGAUGUUUUAACGCCAGGACAUUUUUUAGUACACCGUCCACUGACUGCUAUAGUGGAACCGUCUUACGAAGAAUCUAUCAACCGUUUGUCGCAGUGGCAGACAAUUCAAGAAUUCAUUCGUCGCCUCUGGAAGCGGUGGUCAAGUGAAUACCUGUCAGGUCUUCAGCAGCGGACUCGAUGGACACACGAACGAAACGACGUCCACGUUGGCACGAUGGUGCUAGUCAAAGACGACCAUUUGCCACCAAUGAAGUGGCGUUUCGGACGAAUAGUGGACACCACACCCGUACCCGACGGACACGUCCGUGUAGUCAACAUCCGCACCAAGGACGGCAUUUAUCAACGGGCAAUUACACGUAUUUGCGUUUUGCAGAUUCAAGACAACCAGCAACCUCAUAACGAGGUAGUCUAGUUCCAGUUGUUCGAGGUCCCAGAAAACCAGGCAAUGUUGGAUGGGAGGGGGCCUUAUGGUCCUCUCACAAGUUAAGUAUUAAGUUUCCAUAAAUUUUCUGGACCAAAUGUUUCCCGACCUAAAGUUGCUGUUUGUUGUCAGACUUAUGCGCUCGACGUCAGUGGAGGAGAGGAAGGUUCAACAUAGCCAACCUAUCAACCCCCAGCCGUUGGUCGAAAAUGUGUAGCAGAUUUAUACCGGCGUCCAGCAAUAGAAGCACACCGAUCGGCCAUCCCACAGCCGAUAGUUAAAUCCGACCUAUCUACCCACAACCGUUGGUCGAGGAAUUGCAUCUGGAUCCGAAUAAUAUCUCAUCAGAAUAAAUAUGAAUUUUGAAUUGUUCAUUUAUAGUUAGAGUAGAUAGACUUAGACAACACCAUCAAAAAGAGUUAGGCUGAAUUGAAACUGAAAUUUCAAUGGUGGGCGGUAUGUUGACGCGCAUGUCGAAAUUUGUUAGUCUACCCUUAAAUUAAUUGCACAGAGAUUUGAUCUAUCGCUCUCGUUUUGCAUAUCACAAAGCAGAGGAGAUUUUGAUUCCCUUUAGCUCUCAUCGCUCUGACCUAGGACAGGGAGAGUCAGUUGAAUAAAACUAUCAAACCGUGAUACAUCGCAUUUGUCUAUCGCGGUAAAUAAACGUAUGGAGUACUUUUUAUAUUAGUCACAGUAACGAAGCGAGUGUUCACUAACCACGAUAUCACCACCGAUAUAGUUCACGUUUUUUUUCUACCACGAUCCGGUGAACCAGCACCCAUC
Molecule: long non-coding RNA, 1599 nt
Organism: Topomyia yanbarensis
Lineage: Eukaryota; Metazoa; Arthropoda; Insecta; Diptera; Culicidae
Exons: 3
Source: RefSeq, a predicted model, not a curated record